GGGGGCGUAGCUCAAUUGGCAGAGCGGUCGGCUUAUAUCCGACGAGAGCACCAGAUUAGUGCGCGGUUGCAGGUUCAAGUCCUGUCGCCCCUACCA
Molecule: transfer RNA, 96 nt
Filed under: Acetobacteraceae bacterium
Lineage: Bacteria; Pseudomonadati; Pseudomonadota; Alphaproteobacteria; Acetobacterales; Acetobacteraceae
Also listed under: 1 other name
Description: tRNA-Ile
Rfam family: tRNA
About the family: Transfer RNA (tRNA) molecules are approximately 80 nucleotides in length. Their secondary structure includes four short double-helical elements and three loops (D, anti-codon, and T loops).
Source: RNAcentral